AGCUUCUCUACCUGCUUCUGUAGAACGUCUUGUAAUGGGAGCUAAAACGGGCUCGGUCCCAGUGGGCAGCCUGCGCCAGCGCUGCUCCGGAUGGUUUUCCCUGUUCCGAAUGCAGAUCCCUCUCGCGCCCGUGAAUCGAGAUUUUCAGGGCUCUUUCUUCAGCGAAGACUUCGUUCCGCAGAGUGAAUGCUCCUCGGAGAGGUGGCAGCAAGGAUGGCUGGAGCAGGGAGCGUUUUGCAAGGGGUGGAUGGUUCCCCUCUCCUCCCACUSCUGUGUYGGACCGAAGGCCUUUUCCAUCUCCRCCUGUGACUGCUUUUACAUCAGAUCUUCGAAGAGUGGGAAAUUUCCAGGGGCUGAAGUCUCAUCGCACUACUUCAGAAAGAAUUUGGGUCAUCUGAGCCCACCUAACAUUUCUUCUAUGCAUUGCUGUAGUCUUCAUCUUCAGGUGCUUUAAUUCUGCCCAGAUGGAUGAGAAUAGAUGAAUGUCUUCAUCCUGCAGACCAAAGGAAGUAGUAAUCCACUUCAUCUGUCRCGAUCUCCCAUUGGUAAGCCCUUGUAAUGUUAUACCCUAUAUACUCUUGCCUACAACUAGUCUUGCUGUCUGAAUCUGCUGUGAAAUCUCAUCCUCUAUCAGAUCAGAUUAAUGGGCUUGCAUCUUAUGUUUAAAUACAGCCCCCACAUAUGCUGUACUCCAAACCAAUAAUGUCUCGAGGCAAUAAAAUGAAUUGCUAGCAGAAAUGCUUUCCCUUG
Long non-coding RNA from Dromaius novaehollandiae (emu), 750 nucleotides. The record is from Ensembl. Lineage: Eukaryota; Metazoa; Chordata; Aves; Casuariiformes; Dromaiidae.